This 467-nucleotide ribosomal RNA is filed under the name uncultured bacterium. RNAcentral's name for it is "partial 16S ribosomal RNA". It matches the Rfam family "Bacterial small subunit ribosomal RNA", at positions 28 to 507 of the family's 1533-position model. The record is from RNAcentral.
GACGAACGCUGGCGGCGUGCUUAACACAUGCAAGUCGAACGAUGAUGCCAGCUUGCUGGUGGAUUAGUGGCGAACGGGUGAGUAACACGUGAGCAACCUGCCCCUGACUUCGGGAUAACCGCGGGAAACCGUGGCUAAUACCGGAUAUGACGCGCUAUCGCAUGGUGGUGUGUGGAAAGAUUUAUCGGUUGGGGAUGGGCUCGCGGCCUAUCAGCUUGUUGGUGGGGUGAUGGCCUACCAAGGCGACGACGGGUAGCCGGCCUGAGAGGGUGACCGGCCACACUGGGACUGAGACACGGCCCAGACUCCUACGGAGGCAGCAGUGGGGAAUAUUGCACAAUGGGCGCAAGCCUGAUGCAGCGACGCCGCGUGAGGGAUGACGGCCUUCGGGUUGUAAACCUCUUUCAGUAGGGAAGAAGGCCUUCGGGUUGACGGUACCUGCAGAAGAAGCGCCGGCUAACUACGUG